Molecule: ribosomal RNA, 469 nt
Filed under: uncultured bacterium
Lineage: Bacteria
Description: bacterial SSU rRNA
Rfam family: Bacterial small subunit ribosomal RNA
Source: RNAcentral
GAUGAACGCUGGCGGCGUGCUUAACACAUGCAAGUCGAACGGAGUUAGAUGAAACCUAGUGAUUCUAACUUAGUGGCGGACGGGUGAGUAACGCGUGGGUAACCUGCCUUGUACAGGGGGAUAACAGUUAGAAAUAGCUGCUAAUACCGCAUAAGCGCACGGAAUCGCAUGAUUCAGUGUGAAAAACUCCGGUGGUACAAGAUGGACCCGCGUCUGAUUAGCUAGUUGGUGAGGUAACGGCCCACCAUGGCAACGAUCAGUAGCCGGACUGAGAGGUUGAACGGCCACAUUGGGACUGAGAUACGGCCCAGACUCCUACGGGAGGCAGCAGUGGGGAAUAUUGGGCAAUGGGGGAAACCCUGACCCAGCAACGCCGCGUGAAGGAAGAAGGCCUUCGGGUUGUAAACUUCUUUUAGCAGGGACGAAGGACGUGACGGUACCUGCAGAAAAAGCAACGGCUAACUACGUG